Molecule: long non-coding RNA, 1175 nt
Organism: Phasianus colchicus (ring-necked pheasant)
Lineage: Eukaryota; Metazoa; Chordata; Aves; Galliformes; Phasianidae
Source: Ensembl
UAGGGCCAAUAGCUGGGGAGGGGGACAGGGGGCUGUGGGGGGCUGUGGGGGUUGUGGGGGGCGUGGGGGGAUAUGGGGCCCAUAGCUGGGGAUGGGGACCAUGGGGGGCUAUGGGGCAGCUAUGGGGCAGCUAUGGGGCAGGUAUAGGGGUCUGGACACCAGGGGACGCUAUGGAGCAGCAAUGGGGCCGUUAUUGGAAACCUAUGGGGCAGCCAUGGGGCGGCUAUGGGGCCGCUGUGGGGCGGCUAUGGGGCGGCUGUGGGGCAGAGAUGACUCCACUGGGUGCUAUAGGGCACUGCAGGCCGCUGGGGGGCGCUAUGGAGCAGCAAUGGGGCCGUUAUAGGAAACCUAUGGGAAGUCUAUGGGGCAGCUAUGGGGCAGCUAUGGGGUAUCUAUGGGGCAGCUGUGGGGCAGCUAUGGGGCAGGAAAGGGCAGAUUAAGGGCAGGUAAAUGGCAGCUAUUGGACACCAGGGGGCGCUAUGGAGCAGCAAUGAGGCCGCUAUAGGAAACCUAUGGGCCGGCUAUGGGGCAGCUAUGGGGCAGCUAUGGGGCAGCCUUGGGGCACGCACCGACUCCAUCCGAAGAUGGGGGGCGCCGUCCAGGCGCAGGCCCAAAUCCAGGAGAAAAGGAUCCCGGCCACCGCCAGCUUGCCGUCGAAUUUGAUGUUGCCGAAGGGUUUGCAGACCACGAACCAGCGCUCCCACGAGAUGAUGGCCAGCGACCACAGCGCCGUGAUGCCUGCGGGCGGCCGCCAGCGCUGCCCCACCGAUCCCAGCCCCAUAGAUCCCUGCCCCAUAGAUCCCUGCCCCACGGGUCCCGGCCCCAUAGAUCAGCGCUGCCCCACCGAUCCCGGCCCCACGGAUCCCUGCCCCACGGAUCCCGGCCCCAUAGAUCCCGGCCUCAUNNNNNNNNNNNNNNCCACGGACCCCGGCCCCAUAGAUCCCGGCCCCACGGAUCCCGGCCCCAUAGAUCCCUGCCCCAUAGAUCAGUGACCCAUAGAUCCCGGCCCCACGGAUCCCGGCCCCAUGGAUCCCUGCCCCAUAGAUCCCUGCCCCAUAGAUCCCGGCCCCACGGAUCCCUGCCCCACGGAUCCCGGCCCCACGGAUCCCUGCCCCAUGGAUGCCAGCCCCAUAGAUCAGCGCAGCCCCACAAAUCACUGCCCCAUAGAUCCCUGC